RNAcentral lists this ribosomal RNA (1236 nucleotides) under Triticum aestivum (bread wheat). RNAcentral describes it as "partial small subunit ribosomal RNA". Lineage: Eukaryota; Viridiplantae; Streptophyta; Magnoliopsida; Poales; Poaceae. The record is from RNAcentral.
AUGGAUCUCUCCAUAUUGAGCUGGAAUGUGAGGGGUUUAAACAAUCCCGCGAAGAGAAGGGCUGUGCAGAUUUUUGUGUCUGACCUCAAAUGCAACAUAGUAUGUUUGCAAGAAACGAAGCUCAACGAUCCUUCAAAUGGGCUGGUUGUGGAGGCACUAGGACCGAGAUUCAAGGAUAAUUUCAUCUCCCUCCGUGCGAACGGCCCUAGGAGAGGUGUGCUCAUUGCUUGCAAUGAGGAUUUCGAGAUAAAAAAUGAUCCAUCUGCGGCUGGGGAGUUUUCAGUCUCGGGGAUGAUCAGGUGCAGAGCCAAUGGGGAGAGCUGGUCCAUCUCCGGCGUUUACGGACCGCAAUUGGAAGAGGAGAAGAUCCAGUUCAUUGAUGAACUGCGAAGGAUCAAGAUGCAAAUGCUGCCGCGGUGGUUGAUCCUCGGUGAUUUUAAUAUGAUCAGUAGGGCAAGUGAUAAGAGCAAUAACAAUUUAAAUCUGAGAAUGAUGGGGCGGUUUCGGGCUGCCAUUGAGGAGAUGGAGCUGAUUGAUUUCCCGUUGCUGGGAAGGAGAUUCACAUGGCUUGAUUUGGCGCAAGAGGAGAGGGAUCUAUCCGCUGAGGAGAGGAGGCUGCGUGCUAUGCUGAAAGCCAAGUUGUUGGGCCUGGCGGCUAUUGACAGAGCUAAAUGGAGGCAGAAAUCGAGGCUAACUGAUAUAAGAGAAGGAGAUGCCAACACUAGGUUCUUUCAAAUCAGAGCUAGUGGAAGGCGCCGCAAGAAUCACAUACCAAGUUUGAACGGAAGGAGUGGAAGAGUGACUGAUCAUGAGGGGAAGGCUCAGAUCCUAUUCGAUAGAUUCAAAAGCAUUAUGGGCACACCGUUCUCGAGGACCACAAAAAUGAAUUGGGAGGCCAUGGGAUUGCCAAGGCGAGAUCUGCAGCACUUAGACAACCCCUUCACCGAGCAUGAGCUGCACGCGGCCGUAACUGAGAUGCACGGUGAGAAAGCACCUGGGCCGGAUGGGUUCACGGGGAUGUUUUUCAAGCAUUGUUGGCAACUGAUUAAAGAGGACCUCCUUGCUGCGGUGAAUUGUGUUCACUCGCUCCAUGGACACAACUGGAAGCUGCUAAAUACCGCAAAUAUUGUGCUGCUGCCCAAGAAGGACGAUGCUCAGGAGGCAAGUGACUUUAGGCCGGUGAGUCUAAUGCACAGUGUUCCAAAAAUUGUCAGCAAGAUGUUGGCUUCCCGCUGA